UGGUGGAGUGAUUUGUCUGCUUAAUUGCGUUAACGAACGAGACCUCAGCCUGCUAAAUAGUUAUGCGAACCUUCUGCUUGGGUGAAGGCGCGGCGGGCAGUUCCUGCUUCCGGGUGGGGGCACCCCCGCGCUGGAUCCUUGAUGCGUUCGUAGCAAUACUUCUUAGAGGGACAACUGGUUUUAAGCCAGUGGAAGUUUGAGGCAACAACA
This 210-nucleotide ribosomal RNA is filed under the name uncultured eukaryote. RNAcentral describes it as "partial 18S ribosomal RNA". It matches the Rfam family "Eukaryotic small subunit ribosomal RNA", at positions 1299 to 1458 of the family's 1831-position model. The record is from RNAcentral.